CUCUUAUCAAGAGCGGCGGAGGGAAUAGGCCCUAAGAUGCCCAGCAACCAGUGAUCCAUCACAAUGGUGCUAAGUCCUACAGACAAUUGUCUGGAAGAUAAGGG
Non-coding RNA from Lysinibacillus sp. BF-4, 104 nucleotides. The record is from Rfam. NCBI's taxonomy places the organism in Bacteria, Bacillati, Bacillota, Bacilli, Caryophanales, Bacillaceae.